UGAAUCAGGAUCUGAUGUUGAUGAUUUUGGUCCAUCAUUUGUUCAUAAAGUUUCAGGCUAUGGUUGCUUGACUCCGGUUCGUGAGGAGGUAAAGGGCACAGAUUGUGCAACAUACUUGAGCUGCGAUGAUCAAAGUCACCCGGAUAUGGUUCCUGAAUUUUACCAUGGAGUGCAACGAACUACUGAAAUGGUGCAGAAACAAAUGGCUGAUUUCAGGCAAUAUUCCACCAACGGAAGGCCUCGUGAUUUAGGUAUCUUAUUUU
Zea mays is the source of this 263-nucleotide RNA transcript. It is a transcript of the gene named phosphatidylinositol/phosphatidylcholine transfer protein pseudogene, with no coding region annotated. The transcript is spliced from 2 exons. NCBI's taxonomy places the organism in Eukaryota, Viridiplantae, Streptophyta, Magnoliopsida, Poales, Poaceae. The record is from RefSeq and is marked validated.